AAAAAAGGUAAGCUACUAAGAGCGAAUGGUGGAUGCCUUGACUGGUAAAGGCGAUGAAGGACGUACUAGACUGCGAUAAGCUACGGGGAGCUGUCAAGAAGCUUUGAUCCGUAGAUUUCCGAAUGGGGCAACCCAAUGUAUAGAGAUAUACAUUACCUAUAUAGGAGCGAACGAGGGGAAUUGAAACAUCUUAGUACCCUCAGGAAAAGAAAUCAAUAGAGAUUGCGUCAGUAGCGGCGAGCGAAAGCGUAAGAGGGCAAACCCAGUGCUUGCACUGGGGGUUGUAGGACUGCAAUGUGCAAGAGGUGAGUUUAGCAGAACAUUCUGGAAAGUAUAGCCAUAGAGGGUGAUAGUCCCGUAUGCGAAAAACAAACCUUAGCUAGCAGUAUCCUGAGUAGGGCGGGACACGAGAAAUCCUGUCUGAAGCUGGGUCGACCACGAUCCAACCCUAAAUACUAAUACCAGAUCGAUAGUGCACAAGUACCGUGAGGGAAAGGUGAAAAGAACUGAGGUGAUCAGAGUGAAAUAGAACCUGAAACCAUUUGCUUACAAUCAUUCAGAGCACUAUGUAGCAAUACAGUGUGAUGGACUGCCUUUUGCAUAAUGAGCCUGCGAGUUGUGGUGUCUGGCAAGGUUAAGCAAACGCGAAGCCGUAGCGAAAGCGAGUCUGAAUAGGGCGCUUAGUCAGAUGCUGCAGACCCGAAACGAAGUGAUCUAUCCAUGAGCAAGUUGAAGCUAGUGUAAGAACUAGUGGAGGACUGAACCCAUAGGCGUUGAAAAGCCCCGGGAUGACUUGUGGAUAGGGGUGAAAGGCCAAUCAAACUUCGUGAUAGCUGGUUCUCUCCGAAAUAUAUUUAGGUAUAGCGUUGUGUCGUAAUAUAAGGGGGUAGAGCACUGAAUGGGCUAGGGCAUACACCAAUGUACCAAACCCUAUCAAACUCCGAAUACCUUAUAUGUAAUCACAGCAGUCAGGCGGCGAGUGAUAAAAUCCGUCGUCAAGAGGGAAACAACCCAGACUACCAGCUAAGGUCCCUAAAUCUUACUUAAGUGGAAAACGAUGUGAAGUUACUUAAACAACCAGGAGGUUGGCUUAGAAGCAGCCAUCCUUUAAAGAAAGCGUAAUAGCUCACUGGUCUAGUGAUUUUGCGCGGAAAAUAUAACGGGGCUAAAGUAAGUACCGAAGCUGUAGACUUGCGCACAACUUAGAUUAUUUAAGUUUAGAAUAUGAGAAACUAAGUUAUAUGUUUAGUUAUAUUUUUACUGAUUUUUAUAGAGUAAAGAUAGAAAUAAAACUUAGUAAAAUCAGUAAAAAUAUUCUUAGACUAAAGUUAAGUAGUUUAAGUUGUGUGCAAGUGGUAGGAGAGCGUUCUAUUUGCGUCGAAGGUAUACCGGUAAGGAGUGCUGGAGCGAAUAGAAGUGAGCAUGCAGGCAUGAGUAGCGAUAAUUAAUGUGAGAAUCAUUAACGCCGUAAACCCAAGGUUUCCUACGCGAUGCUCGUCAUCGUAGGGUUAGUCGGGUCCUAAGUCGAGUCCGAAAGGGGUAGACGAUGGCAAAUUGGUUAAUAUUCCAAUACCAACAUUAGUGUGCGAUGGAAGGACGCUUAGGGCUAAGGGGGCUAGCGGAUGGAAGUGCUAGUCUAAGGUCGUAGGAGGUUAUACAGGCAAAUCCGUAUAACAAUACUCCGAGAACUGAAAGGCUUUUUGAAGUCUUCGGAUGGAUAGAAGAACCCCUGAUGCCAUCGAGCCAAGAAAAGUUUCUAAGUUUAGCUAAUGUUGCCCGUACCGUAAACCGACACAGGUGGGUGGGAUGAGUAUUCUAAGGCGCGUGGAAGAACUCUCUUUAAGGAACUCUGCAAAAUAGCACCGUAUCUUCGGUAUAAGGUGUGGUUCGCUUCGUAUUAGGAUUUACUCCGAAAGCGAAGAAACUUACAACAAAGAGUCCCUCCCGACUGUUUACCAAAAACACAGCACUCUGCUAACUCGUAAGAGGAUGUAUAGGGUGUGACGCCUGCCCGGUGCUCGAAGGUUAAUUGAUGGGGUUAGCAUUAGCGAAGCUCUUGAUCGAAGCCCGAGUAAACGGCGGCCGUAACUAUAACGGUCCUAAGGUAGCGAAAUUCCUUGUCGGUUAAAUACCGACCUGCAUGAAUGGCGUAACGAGAUGGGAGCUGUCUCAAAGAGGGAUCCAGUGAAAUUGUAGUGGAGGUGAAAAUUCCUCCUACCCGCGGCAAGACGGAAAGACCCCGUGGACCUUUACUACAGCUUGACACUGCUAUUUGGAUAAGAAUGUGCAGGAUAGGUGGGAGGCUUUGAGUAUAUGACGCCAGUUGUAUAUGAGCCAUUGUUGAGAUACCACUCUUUCUUAUUUGGGUAGCUAACCAGCUUGAGUUAUCCUCAAGUGGGACAAUGUCUGGUGGGUAGUUUGACUGGGGCGGUCGCCUCCCAAAUAAUAACGGAGGCUUACAAAGGUUGGCUCAGAACGGUUGGAAAUCGUUCGUAGAGUAUAAAGGUAUAAGCCAGCUUAACUGCAAGACAUACAAGUCAAGCAGAGACGAAAGUCGGUCUUAGUGAUCCGGUGGUUCUGUGUGGAAGGGCCAUCGCUCAAAGGAUAAAAGGUACCCCGGGGAUAAC
RNAcentral lists this ribosomal RNA (2627 nucleotides) under Campylobacter coli. RNAcentral's name for it is "partial 23S ribosomal RNA". It matches the Rfam family "Bacterial large subunit ribosomal RNA", at positions 1 to 2478 of the family's 2925-position model. Lineage: Bacteria; Pseudomonadati; Campylobacterota; Epsilonproteobacteria; Campylobacterales; Campylobacteraceae. The record is from RNAcentral.